Cyprinus carpio carpio is the source of this 386-nucleotide long non-coding RNA. NCBI's taxonomy places the organism in Eukaryota, Metazoa, Chordata, Actinopteri, Cypriniformes, Cyprinidae. The record is from Ensembl.
CGAUGCCGAGGUCGUUCCCGAGGCGGUGUCCUUGUCCGAUGCCGUUCCUGAGGCCAUUCCCGAGGCGGUGCCCGAUGCUGUUCCGGAGGCCGAUGCGGGGCCCGAGAUGGUUCCGGAGGCGAUACCCGUGUCCAAGGCCGUUCCCGAGGCGGUGCCCUUGUCUGAGGCCGUUCCCGAUGCCGUUCCCAAUGCCGUGACCUGGCCAUCGCCACAGCCUGCUCCUUACUGGCUCCCCGAUUGGCAGGUUCCGUUCGGGCCACUCAAAUGGCGAAUUCCUCCCUGGCCGUCUGCACAACGAGAAUGGACUGAUCCACCGUGGCCACCUGAACUGCCUGGCCCCUCGUGGUCCCCCUGAACUUGCGGGUCCACCGUGGCCACCUGAACUG